Long non-coding RNA from Nerophis ophidion (straightnose pipefish), 927 nucleotides. RefSeq lists it as uncharacterized. NCBI's taxonomy places the organism in Eukaryota, Metazoa, Chordata, Actinopteri, Syngnathiformes, Syngnathidae. The transcript is spliced from 3 exons. The record is from RefSeq and is a predicted model, not a curated record.
CAUGUGACCCCUCGUCAUGUCCUUAUAUUGUUUGAACCAAGAAAGACUUAGGUGUGUUUCAUAUAAGGUCCUCAUAUUUUCUAAACCAGAUUAGUGUGUGUUACAAUGUUAAUGUCCAAGCUUUAAAAUGUGUGUCUCAAUUCAGGUCCUCAUAUUUUCUGAACCAGAUUUUAGUGUGUUUUAUAUUCUUAAUUAAUUGUCUAAGAGCUGAAACUCUGUAAUAAUCUUUACUAUUUAUCUGGCAUUGUAUGCUCAGAGUUUUAUCCACAAAAAGUGCUGAUAAUGUUAUAAUUAAUUAGUUCUGACAUUAUAUUUUUGUGUUUUGUUGCAGAAACCAACUGUUGAGGUUCCAUCUCAACAUUCUCCAGAUUCAGAUGUGAGCCAUUAACUGACUUCAUCCCUCCAACAGAAACCAACUGUUGAGGUUCUAUCUCAACAUUCUCUAGAUUCAGAUGACAGCCAUAAACCGACUUCAUCCCUCCAACAGAUUGACAGCAGGACAAAUCGCUGGAAGUAGGUAUGUCUCAAGCUUCUUCCACUUGGUCCACUCCAAAGCGGGGUAAAUAAAUAAUCCACAUCAUUUACUAGAAUAUUAUAUUACGUUUUGCACCUUUUCACUGUGUUAUAGUCAUUUUUCCUUCAGUAAGAAAUUGUAUUUUGUCUCCUUUAUGACACCUGCAAAGGGGAAGAAGUGGAAGCAGUUGAAUGACACAUGUUGCAUUUUGUAACUGGCAACAAAGUACCAGGUAAAAAAGAUUGUGAAGCCUGCCUCCAUAAAGAACUAGUAGCUCUACAGGACAGAGAUUGGCUUGCCAUCAAGUACUACAUCCAUAACAGAAUUAUAUUAAAAAAAGGGGAAAAAAAUGUUUUCCCACAUCUUCUGUGGUAGUUUGAGUAUGUUACCAGCAAUUAAAAAAGCAAAAUAAA